UCUCAAACUCUUGACCUCAAGCGAUCCUCUCACCUCGGCCUCCCCAAGUGUUGGAAUUACAGAUGCCACUGUGUCCACCCAGUGGUGCCCUGUUAAUUAAUGACCCUUGUUAUCAAUUAAGUUCCCCUUUGUUGUCCUGCCUUGCUUAGAUCAGAUAACAGAAAAACCAUGACUAUUACACCCUUUGUAAAAAAUGUUAAAUGUGCCCUUCUCAUAGAGAAACAUUGCCUAUAAGCAACUUGCUGUAAUGAUGUGCCAACCUUUUAUGAAAAAUGUUGUAAUCCUGAUAAAAACACCUCUGUCUUUGCUUAUAUACACGCAAAGACAGAGGAGUCUAAAUGUAUGUAUUUAUUUAGAGACAGGGUCUCACUCCAUUUUCUGGACAGGAGUAAAAUCCACUCCACUUGCACCCCCAGGGCCGGGCAGGUGACGCUUUGGCCCCUACCUGGGAGACACUAGAGCUCACACUGUGGGCACCUCUGGAGCUGACUGGGGAGAUUCUCCUGAAUCCUCGGCUCCCGCUGGGUCUGGACACCCUGUGGCUUCCCGAUCACAGGAUGGCUUCACACCUCUUCCGCUGUCCUGGGCCCUUGCACUGAUUCACAUCUAGAAGGGGACCAGGUCAUGGAGCAACCCUCAGUCCGUGUCUCGACUCUAGACUCACAGGGUCAGCUGUAACAUUGUGGCUGUGUGAGUGUGGGAGGGUGAGGACGACCCCAGGAGUGUCCUGCAAUUUCCUAUUUGCCAAAGAAGCCUCCAUUCUGGAGGAGAGAGGGACCGAGGGUGGAGGGAGCAUCGGUCCUCUCCUGGCUCUCAAAGGACCUGGCAUCAAAUCCACCAUGACACAUACCCUGUCUGGGACCUGUCUCGCUCCAGGGCCCAGCAUGUCUCUGCAGGAAGGCAGGGCAUCCCACGAUAUCACCAGCUCCUCUAGGAGUAUAGGAGCCAAGGAGCUGCUGAGACCUGCUGAUCACCCACUCACUCCCCUCCAGCCACCCCAGAGCCAUGGCUCCCGAGGCCACAUCUUGGCUGUCUUGGCGUCUCUCUGCAUCCUCAGCCUUCUCUGAUCAUGUGGAGCCCCCAGUGGCCCCCAUGGGUGCUUAUCUGAUGCUGUGCCAGCCACAGGCAAGAUGUGGGGACACGUUCUGUGACCCUCUGCAGCACUGCUACUAUGACAAUGCCAUCCUGCCCUCGGAUGGGACCCAGAGGGGUGGAACUGCACCUUCAGAGUCUGCUUCGAGAAGUGCUGCCCCUGGUCCCUCAGUCCCCCAGCGUCCCUCAUGGUGAAGAUGAAAGGCCAGAAGUGCUCCUUGACCCUGACCUCAGAUAACAGGCUUUGUCACAGGUGAGGUCCUGUCUCCUCCAUGAGAUUGUGGGUCCUGGGGGGCUGCAUGCCUGUUCUGCCCUGAGUAGAGCCCCCAUUCUCUGUGUCUGUCCUCCUGCCUCUAGUCAAUCCACCUCCCCCUUUCCCUACAGUUGUAUUUCUUCCUCCCUUCGUUUUUAUUUUCCUCUCACAACCUCACUCUCUCAACAUUGCUGGCCUCUCCUCCUGGCUCUCCUGUCCUCCUUUCUGCACUGUUCAGUCUCUCCCCCAUCUCUGGCCUGCUCAGUGUCUCUGUCUUCAGUGUCAGCUCAGACUGGAGGGCAGUGGCUCAAUCACAGCUCACUGCAGCCUCAACCUCCCAGACUCAAGCGAUCCUCACACCU
This 1707-nucleotide long non-coding RNA is filed under the name Homo sapiens (human). Its description in RNAcentral is "HSALNT0398289". The record is from RNAcentral. Lineage: Eukaryota; Metazoa; Chordata; Mammalia; Primates; Hominidae.